This 2544-nucleotide ribosomal RNA is filed under the name Halegenticoccus soli. RNAcentral's name for it is "bacterial LSU rRNA". It matches the Rfam family "Archaeal large subunit ribosomal RNA", at positions 108 to 2722 of the family's 2987-position model. Lineage: Archaea; Methanobacteriati; Methanobacteriota; Halobacteria; Halobacteriales; Haloferacaceae. The record is from RNAcentral.
GGAUCUCCGAAUGGGAAUCCCCACAGCAAUUGCUUCGCGCAAUGGGGAACGCCGGGAAUUGAAACAUCUCAGUACCGGCAGGAAAAGAAAGCAACCGCGAUGUCGUCAGUAACGGCGAGUGAACGCGACGCAGUCCAAACCGAAGCCGCAAGGCAAUGUGGUGUACGGACUGGCUCUCAUCGCCGGACCGUCUUCGUGAAGUCUCCUGGAACGGAGCGUGAGACAGGGUGAAAACCCCGUAACGAAGGCCAGUACGGCGUGCGUCAGCUCCAGAGUAGCGGGGGUCGGAUAUCCCUCGUGAAUUUCGCUGGCAUUCACAGCGAAGACUAAACACUCCUCGAGACCGAUAGCGAACAAGUAGCGUGAGCGAACGCUGAAAAGCACCCCGAGAAGGGCGGUGCAAUAGGGCUUGAAAUCAGGUGGCGAUAGAGCGACGGGGCGUAAAAGGCCUCUCGGAAAACGAACCGGACGCGAGUCCGCAGUAGGAACCGAGAGGAGCCGACGUUCCGUCGUGCGUUUUGAAAAACGAACCAGGGAGUGUGCCUGUUUGGCGAGUCUAACCCGAGCAUCGGGGAAGGCGCAGGGAAACCGACACGACCGCAGCAUCCGCGAGGGUCGCCGUGUUCAAGCGCGGGGAGCCAAGCGGGCACGACCCGAAACCGAGUGAUCUACACGAGGGCAAGGUGAAGCGUGGCGAAAGCCACGUGGAGGCCUGCUAGAGUUGGUGUCCUACAAUACCCUCUCGUGACCUUCGUGUAGGGGUGAAAGGCCCAUCGAACUCGGCAACAGCUGGUUCCGACCGAAACAUGUCGAAGCAUGACCUCCGCCGAGGUAGUUCGUGGGGUAGAGCGACCGAUUGGGUGACCUGACUCCGAGAGGAGUCAGCCACCCUGUCAAACUCCGAACCUACGAACGCUGUCGACGCGGGGAGUCCGGUCUGCGGGGUAAGCCUGUGGACCGUAAGGGAGACAACCCAGAGCCGGGUUAAGGACCCAAAAUGUGGAUUAAGUGCGAUUGAAGCUGGUCUCGAGCCCUAGACAGCCGGGAGGUGAGCUUAGAAGCAGCUACCCUCUAAGAAAAGCGUAACAGCUUACCGGCCGAGGUUCGAGGCGGCGAAAAUGAUCGGGGCUCAAAUCCACUUCCGAGACCUGGCGGCGCCCCUCACAGGGUGAUCCAGUAGGUCGGCAUUCCGUUCGGGUGGAAGCACGGGCGAGAGUUCGUGUGGACCGAGCGGUAACGAAAAUCCUGGUCACAGUAGCAGCGAGAGUCGGGUGAGAACCCCGACGGCCUUACGAGCAAGGGUUCCUCGGCACUGCCAAUCAGCCGAGGGUUAGCCGGUCCUAAGGCCCGCCGCAAUUCGAGCGGGUCAAAAGGGAAACAGGUUAAUAUUCCUGUGCUAUCGUGCACUCAAAGCCGACGCCUCGGGGUCAGCUGAGCCGGGCCUUCGCCCGGUCGAACCGGAGAACGCCGUGGAAGCCGUCACGGCACGAAGCGGCCGAAAUCCGGGAUAGGGAAACUCGACGGUACCUGGGGCCCGUGAAAAGGCAAGCACGGUGACCGUACCGAGAUCCGACACAGGUGCUCAGGCGGAGAAAGCCAAGGCCUGUCGGGAGAACCGACGUUAGGGAAUUCGGCAAUUUAGUCCCGUACGUUCGCAAGAAGGGAUGCCUGCUCCGCGACGGAGCAGGUCGCAGUGACUCGGACGCUCCGACUGUCUAGUAACAACACAGGUGACCGCAAAUCCGCAAGGACGAGUACGGUCACUGAAUCCUGCCCAGUGCGGGUAUCUGAACACCUCGUACAAGAGGACGAAGGACCCGUCAACGGCGGGGGUAACUAUGACCCUCUUAAGGUAGCGUAGUACCUUGCCGCUUCAGUAGCGGCUUGCAUGAAUGGAUCAACGAGAGCGUCGCUGUCCCAACGUUGGACCCGGUGAACUGUACGUUCCAGUGCGGAGUCUGGAGACCCCCAAGGGGAAGCGAAGACCCUAUAGAGCUUUACUGCAGGCUGUCGCUGGGACAUGGUCGCUGAUGUGCAGGAUAGGUAGGAGCCGUUACACAGGUACCCGCGCCAGCGGGCCACCGAGGCACCCGUGAAAUACUACCCGUCAGUGACUGUGACCCUCACUCCGGGAGGAGGACACCGGUAGCCGGGCAGUUUGACUGGGGCGGUACGCGCUCGAAAAGAUAUCGAGCGCGCCCCAAGGUUUCCUCACUCGGGUCAGAAACCCGAGGAAGAGCGCAAGAGCACACGGAAGCCUGACAGUGAUCUCCCCAACGAGGAUCGCUGACGCGAAAGCGUGGUCUAGCGAACCGACGAGGCUCCUUAAUGGGGCCCGUCGAUGACAGAAAAGCUACCUUAGGGAUAACAGAGUCGUCACCGGCAAGAGCACAUAUCGACCCGGUGGCUUGCUACCUCGAUGUCGGUUCCCUCCAUCCUGCCUGUGCAGAAGCAGGCAAGGGUGAGGUUGUUCGCCUAUUAAAGGAGGUCGUGAGCUGGGUUUAGACCGUCGUGAGACAGGUCGGCUGCUAUCUAUUGGGGGUG